RNAcentral lists this ribosomal RNA (497 nucleotides) under uncultured bacterium. RNAcentral describes it as "partial 16S ribosomal RNA". It matches the Rfam family "Bacterial small subunit ribosomal RNA", at positions 28 to 507 of the family's 1533-position model. The record is from RNAcentral.
GACGAACGCUGGCGGCGUGCCUAAUACAUGCAAGUAGAACGCUGAAGAGAGGAGCUUACUCUUCUUGGAUGAGUUGCGAACGGGUGAGUAACGCGUAGGUAACCUGCCUUGUAGCGGGGGAUAACUAUUGGAAACGAUAGCUAAUACCGCAUAACAAUGGAUGACACAUGUCAUUUAUUUGAAAGGGGCAAUUGCUCCACUACAAGAUGGACCUGCGUUGUAUUAGCCAGUAGGUGAGGUAAUGGCUCACCUAGGCGACGAUACAUAGCCGACCUGAGAGGGGGAUCGGCCAAACUGGGACUGAGACACGGCCCAGACUCCUACGGGAGGCAGCAGUAGGGAAUCUUCGGCAAGGGGGGCAACCCUGACCGAGCAACGCCGCGUGAGUGAAGAAGGGUUUCGGAUCGUAAAGCUCUGUUGUAAGUCAAGAACGGGUGUGAGAGUGGAAAGUUCACACUGUGACGGUAGCUUACCAGAAAGGGACGGCUAACUACGUG